Molecule: unclassified non-coding RNA, 356 nt
Filed under: Glomeromycotina sp.
Lineage: Eukaryota; Fungi; Glomeromycota
Description: partial contains small subunit ribosomal RNA, internal transcribed spacer 1, and 5.8S ribosomal RNA
Rfam family: Eukaryotic small subunit ribosomal RNA (bases 1-47)
Source: RNAcentral
AAAGUCGUAACAAGGUUUCCGUAGGUGAACCUGCGGAAGGAUCAUUAAAAAUUUUUUACCAUCAUAUGGAAAAAUAAAAAUCCAUAUUCACCUUGUGUGCAUCUAUUGAAUGUUUGCUUUUGGGAAGUGCACAGUCCUUUUUUUUAAAAUAUCUAGGAGAGGGGAGAUCGCUUUGGCGGUAUACUUUUUCAUGAUUAUUUAAAUUUAGCGGAUCCGAAAGGAAAAUAUCCGGCCUCCCAAAAGUUUUCUUUUGAAAACUCCAUUCUUUCUAAAUAUUUUGUCUAAAAAAUAAAUAUCUCUUUUGAUAUUAAAUUUAAAUUAUAAAACAACUUUCAACAACGGAUCUCUUGGUUCUC